UACAGAGGGGGCAAGCGUUGUUCGGAAUUACUGGGCGUAAAGGGCGCGUAGGCGGCCUGUUAAGUCAGACGUGAAAUCCCUCGGCUCAACCGGGGAACUGCGUCUGAUACUGGCGGGCUUGAAUUCGGGAGAGGGAUGUGGAAUUCCAGGUGUAGCGGUGAAAUGCGUAGAUAUACGGAGGAACACCAGAGGCGAAGGCGGAUCGCUGGGCCAACACUGACGCUGAGACGCGAAAGCUAGGGGAGCAAACGGG
Molecule: ribosomal RNA, 253 nt
Filed under: uncultured bacterium
Lineage: Bacteria
Description: partial 16S ribosomal RNA
Rfam family: Bacterial small subunit ribosomal RNA
Source: RNAcentral